RNAcentral lists this ribosomal RNA (326 nucleotides) under uncultured eukaryote. RNAcentral's name for it is "partial 18S ribosomal RNA". It matches the Rfam family "Eukaryotic small subunit ribosomal RNA", at positions 1470 to 1796 of the family's 1831-position model. The record is from RNAcentral.
CCCUUAGAUGUUCUGGGCCGCACGCGCGCUACACUGAUGCAUUCAACAAGCCUAGCCUUGACCGAGAGGUCCGGGUAAUCUUUGAAACUGCAUCGUGAUGGGGCUAGAUUAUUGCAAUUAUUAAUCUUCAACGAGGAAUGCCUAGUAAGCGUGAUUCAUCAAAUCGCGUUGAUUACGUCCCUGCCCUUUGUACACACCGCCCGUCGCUCCUACCGAUUGAAUGUGUUGGUGAGGAGCUCGGAUUGGCAGCAGUUGGUGGUUCGCCACCGGCUAUUGCUGAGAAGUCCUCCAAGCCGCCCCAUUUAGAGGAAGGAGAAGUCGUAACA